This 24-nucleotide small RNA is filed under the name Arabidopsis thaliana (thale cress). Its description in RNAcentral is "ATSL176000". Lineage: Eukaryota; Viridiplantae; Streptophyta; Magnoliopsida; Brassicales; Brassicaceae. The record is from RNAcentral.
ACUAGCAUUACCUAUUUGCAUGUA